RNAcentral lists this long non-coding RNA (701 nucleotides) under Fukomys damarensis (Damara mole-rat). Its description in RNAcentral is "lncRNA (ENSFDAG00000026988.1)". The record is from RNAcentral. Lineage: Eukaryota; Metazoa; Chordata; Mammalia; Rodentia; Bathyergidae.
GACUGGCCCAAGUUCCUGCCGCACGGAAGACUGGAAGGCGCCAGAGACAAACCGGAGCUGCGGGCUCUACCCGCGGUGUGCUCUCGCUCAAGCAGACGUCAGCCAGGCCGAGGCCGCAGGAAGAGCCUGCGAGUCAGGCGGAGAAGCAGCAACUGAGGCAGAAGACACCACGCAAGGAGGCUCCAGAUCAACCACUCUCUCUCCAUGUCACUCUGGGCCCCGCAAGGCCCUGCCCCUCCACCCUGGCCGCAGUGGAGCCUGGUCCUGGGGAGUCCCGAGGGUCCCACACACCUGCACAGGCCCCCCACUCCCCAAGGGGCUCAUGCACAGCUCUGUGCUGGGCCAGCUGUGCUGCCAGCCUGGGAUUCACUCCGAAGCAGCCCCCGUCCCGUAGGAGCCUCAGUGCAGCCUCCUGGCUGUCCUGUUCUGAUGCUGCCCUUGUCACAGCGGGUGGCACAGAAGCUGUCCGGCCGAGGGUCGCCAGCCAGCGAGGGGCAGCUCUAAGACCGAAGCCAGGCGGAGUGGGAGCCAGACACAAGCCUGUGUCUAUAAAUAUAUGGCCUCCCAAACUAACAUUAUCAAGAGUAAUUCUUCUAGUACCAUGAAAAGAGCAAGCACAGGGUUGAAAAUACCCUUAGCCAAGUGAGUAACUUGUCUCUAAUGCGGGAUGCGUGGACAUGAGGCCUGAAGACACAGCCGCC